This 549-nucleotide non-coding RNA is filed under the name Pongo abelii (Sumatran orangutan). The record is from RNAcentral. Lineage: Eukaryota; Metazoa; Chordata; Mammalia; Primates; Hominidae.
GCUCAGCAGCGCCUCCAGCACCGCGUCGUGGUUGCGCUCAGCCGCCAGCCCUGCCACCUGCAAGAAGAAGCUCCUGCCACCAAUAUGAUUCCAGACCCUAAUCUGUCCAAUCCCUGCUGACAGGCACAGGAGGCCUGACUUUGCUCUGCAGAGGUGCUGGUCAAAGGCAGGCCUGGGCCUCACCCUGGAUGGCGGCCACGGCCAACAAAUGCUCCGCUAACAGCUGUAAUGUGCCCAAGAACGGGAAAGAACGGCACAUUUUGGGAUCUCAGAGUAUAAUUGCUCAAGCGGCACCUUAUGAAGAGGAACAAAGGAAGAAUUUCAAGUGGCUUGCAAAGAUUGAUAAAAUACAGCAAAAGUAUUGUAUGUUGGAACUAAAAGAGAAGGAAUAUUUAAAAACCAGGAGUCAGAAGUAAGACCCAGAACACAAGUCUGUGUUUUCUGUUGGCCAGAAGACUCUAAGAUCCUGAUUUUCUACCCAGGCUGCACGGUAAAACCUCCUGGGCAGCUCUUAGACACCCUGAAGCCUCAGCCACAGCCUAGACCAGC